This is a long non-coding RNA of Gadus morhua (Atlantic cod), 327 nucleotides long. RefSeq lists it as uncharacterized. The record is from RefSeq and is a predicted model, not a curated record. NCBI's taxonomy places the organism in Eukaryota, Metazoa, Chordata, Actinopteri, Gadiformes, Gadidae. The transcript is spliced from 3 exons.
AAUGGGUUAUGACGUGUACAUAUAGUUUUUUCCUUGGGAGACACCGUGGCUUGCAAACGAGCGAAGCAGCGCAGUUGCUCAGUGUUUUGAUGUACAAAUGAUGUACAAAACUCGAAAAAGCCAGCUCAUCAAGUGCUUACAUUCAGCAGCUUCUUUCAAGGGAUGUUGCCUGCCAGACAGAACACCUGGAUACGCAUAUUUGUAGGCACACAGCUAUCCUUAAAGUCUUUGCAACCCCAUUUUAAAAGUGAAGAAGACUGCGAUGCCUUUGGAGACCGUAGCACUCGGCGCGGCGCCACCUCAGAGAGUCUGGGUGGGGACGCUCCU